This 259-nucleotide ribosomal RNA is filed under the name uncultured bacterium. RNAcentral's name for it is "partial 16S ribosomal RNA". It matches the Rfam family "Bacterial small subunit ribosomal RNA", at positions 92 to 353 of the family's 1533-position model. The record is from RNAcentral.
CGAGUGGCGGACGGGUGAGUAAUGUCUGGGAAACUGCCUGAUGGAGGGGGAUAACUACUGGAAACGGUAGCUAAUACCGCAUAACGUCGCAAGACCAAAGAGGGGGACCUUCGGGCCUCUUGCCAUCGGAUGUGCCCAGAUGGGAUUAGCUAGUAGGUGGGGUAACGGCUCACCAGGCGACGAUCCCUAGCUGGUCUGAGAGGAUGACCAGCCACACUGGAACUGAGACACGGUCCAGACUCCUACGGGAGGCAGCAUG